CAACCAUAUCACAUUCAAUCACUGGUACUCAUAUGAUCACCAAAGUUAAGCAAUGUCAAGCCUGGUCAGUACCUAGAUGGGUGACCACUUGUGAAUACCAAGUGCUAU
Non-coding RNA from Acanthosepion pharaonis, 108 nucleotides. Lineage: Eukaryota; Metazoa; Mollusca; Cephalopoda; Sepiida; Sepiidae. The record is from the annotation of a GenBank genome assembly.